CGCUUGCGGAACUCUAUCGAGACGGGGAAAACCGGAACAAGCAUCAACACAUGAUAUUCACCACACAAUGCACAACCCAUAUGAUGCAUGGACAGGCUGAAUACAUGCAAGACAGGGCAUGACAAUUCACGUCAAACAAACACUACACAUUAAGUGAAGUUCAAUAUGCAGCGAGUUGCACAUUGACGAAACUCCACAUACGAGUUAUUUAGUUCUCUCCCGAUUAGAUACACGGCAAUAUUAAAUGUUGUUAAACAUGGCAUGAGGGUGAAGCACAAAUUAAUCUACCUAGCUAGUCAUUUUAAAUGAGGUCGGAAGCAUCAUAUAGCAUUUCCGAUAUGACCCCGCGCAUUAAAUUCUAAUCCUGUCCGGAUUUUGUCCUAAUCAUAUUUUAUGUUUGUUAAACGGGGAAACAAAGUGGAUCACGUGAUUCUACUCGUCGUUCUGGUCUAUUUAUAUAUAUGGCACAUCUCCUACGGAGCUAUGGACAAAUAGUUAUGACCUAAACAGUUUUCAACAUAUCGACACGCAAACCGAUGCAAACAUCACACUAAACAGUUCUAACUAUUCAUGAGAGUUGAAAAAUAUUACUCUAUGCAAAAUUCUAGUCAAAAACCAUAUAUAACUCACUCCGAUCCGAGGCACGGUUUAGAAACUACGCUCUUUUGAAAAAUCAAUGCAUUUCUUCUGAAAUUAAAUAAAAUCGCAGGAGGGAAAAAAUGAAUAUAGGCCAAAUUGCAACAUCUUGCAGUGCCAUAAGAGGAUUCAGCCCAAGAGGUUGUGCACACAGAAGGCAAAAUAAAAUAAAAUACCAAGAACAGAAAGAACAGAGGCUUCCCUGGAUUUGAUCCCAGUACCUCUUUGGUGUAGAGGAAGGCACAAACCAACCGAGCUGCAAAUCAGUUGUGACAAGGCAUGGGUUUUUAGCCUAUAUGAAAGUGCAUAAGGAACCAACCUGGAGUAAAAGAAAUACAAAGAAAAACUGGUAUAAGGGUGAAUGGGAUUCGAACCCCAGACACCCUGGUGUUGGCGCUGCUAGGUUGACCAGUCAAGCUGGCCAUAGUUGUGCUAUAAGCAUCUGAAAUACCGGAGAAGAAAUAGCAACAUGUGCACGUCGAUGGGGCAACAAAAAUUAAAUAAGAGCUCGCUGGGAUUUGAUCCCGAGUCUCCUGGGUAGAAGGAGAGAUCGCUAGCCAUUGCAGUAACUAUGUGCUCGUGUAGGAAUUCAGAUGCAAUACUACAUAACAUCAGCAUGGCGGAACAGAUCUUGGAAAGAACUGAAAUUCAGUUACGUAGGGACUUGCUCACAUCAGGGGACGGGGAGGCCAUGGCGGUCUGGGCAGGGGUCUCGAGCACGGAUUGCGGCGGGGAACGACAGGGAAGGCUCGAGCAGCGGCGGCUCUUGCCGGAUCUGGCCGGGGUGGCUCCAUUCCCGACGGAUCUGAUGCGAUCCGGCGGAGCUUGGCCUCCAUCGCUUCCUGUUCGAAUGAGACAGAGAGAGAUGAGCGAAGGGGGCGUGGAAGAAAGGGAAGAACGGGGAGAGCAGGGCAACGACGAGGUUACCGGCGGCGCUAGGAGGUGAGGAAUGGGCGUUGGGGUCGGAUCCGAGGGCGGCUUGGAGGUCCUUCGGCGCCUCCAUGGUUGCUCCUAAUUGCAAGGGGACAUAGAGGGAGAGAUUAGAAAGAGGAGGAGAAACACAAGAGACACUGAGAAGAAGGGCUGCAACGAGGUCGACCUGGCCGGGGACAUGAACCCGCUGGUCACGGGGUUGCCGCUCCGGCGUCUCGCCGACCAUCCAGAUGAGAGGAUAGUGCUCUGAGGUCUUGGUGUGAGCAGGGAGGCAGCAUAGGAGUUGCGGUUGUUGGCUGCUGCGGGUUGUUGGCAGGUGGAGGACGGCCUCGCUAGCUAGACGAGGAAGAUCCCAAGGGGGUGGCGGCGCGGACGAGACAAAUGUCCUAAUUUUCAGGGUUUGGUGUAAUUGAACUAGGUAGUCUGUAUAUAACUAUUGGGUUAGGUAUAGGGGCAUCUGGACCUUCCGAUUUAGAUCGGAUGGUCGAGAUAAUUAGGUUAGGGAGAGCAAUGGACAAACCGAUGACGAUUUGAAGUAAAAUGGGGUUGAUCCGGAUCAAACGGUCACGACCGCAGGGUUCGGGUUCCGGAGGUUUUCGGACUGGGCUGCGCGUAGGGCUGACGCACUGUGCAGAGGGGCUAGGCGCAGAUGAGAAGGAAAACGAGCGACCCAGCAACGUAUUUAAAAACAUCGGCAUAUGUCCGACGGUAGACCGAAUACGGUGUCGCUACGGUCGACCGUUCGGGUACUAGACGGACUCCGAUUGCGACGAAACUCGACAGGCGGCCUAGCUAUAACUAAUCACGACCGCAUGUCAAGUUUCACCUCGAUCAGAGAAAGUUUCAACACACUUUUAAAACAGGGUUUUGACGAUGUCGCGGGCGCGUGCGUGUGCGAUCGGGUUCAAAACGGACAACGACGUGAACCGGCAACUAACAACGGAUGCAAGUUUGAAAACUGGCGGCAACGGAGAUGCCGAUGCAAUGCUGAUGAUGCGCAUGAUGUGAUGAUGAUGCAACAAAAGAAAAUAGACACCCGACGAAAAUGGAAUAGAAGGGGAAUCUUCUGGAACGUCGGCAUCGGGCUGUCACAACUCUCCUACACUACAGGAGGAUCUCGCCCCGAGAUCCAAGAAUGAAAGGGGGAGAGGAUGAGAAAGAACAAGAGGUAAAAACUUGGUCGCUUCUUUGACAAACGAGUGAAACCAAUGAUCCUUGAAAGUUGCAAAGAGAUGAGGAUUGAUAUGAGAAAGAAGCAAGAAUUCACGGAAAAUUUCGGCAGAACUUCGGUAGGAAAACGGGACAAAAAAUUCUAUAAGAUGGGAGAAAUAGACAAUAUUCAUAACAAACAACUAAAUAGAACAAGGGAACACCAUUAUCUUGAUAGAACAACAUGAUUGACCCAAAAGAGCAACAACACAAUGCCUCCGGAACAAUAGAAUAGGAACUAGCUCAUACGGAAGAAGAGAAUGAAGAAAAUAAUAACAACUAACAUCACAAUAGAAUAGAAGAGCCUCCGGACAGAAGAAUUGGCGUAGUAGUUGGAAAGCCAACAACGAAGAACAAGAUAGUAGUGGGCUUAUGAAAAUGAUCUCAACAUAUAUGAGGUGACAACAAACCACUAAAAGAAACAAGGAUAGAUUGGGAGUAACAAGAUAUGAACACUUCUUUCACCAAGAGGAUAUGUUGAGAACUUGGAUCAAUGACAAACACCAUGAUAGCAACAAUCCCUAGGAAAAGCUUUUGGUGGAAUGCAAACCAAGAUAGCUCAAAGAAGAAAUCAUGGGUUGAAAAUAUCUCAUGAUCAUAGAAUUGGUGGGUUUAAUUAUCUCAUUCUUGAAAGGAAACUCUUUGAGGCUCCUACACUAACAAGAAUGUUAUAAUACCACCUCAAAGGAUAAAGGAAGAACAAUGUACUAGAAAUGGAAGAGAAAGAAUACUUGAGGUACUCCAACAAGAAUCUUGAAGAAAACUUUGAGAAAAAUCAUAUCCUUGAAGAACCACCAUGACGAGCCUCCGUAUCAAAAGGAUGAUGCAAAGAUAAACUUGGAACUCCGGAAAAUAAAGAUAAGCACACGAGAAAAGAAUUGAAACCAUGAGCCACUCCGGAAGAAGAAUUCAGAUUAUUAUGAACAAGAAUAAUAAUUAUAUUAUGCUCAUCCUUCAUCAAAUUAAAUUGAUGACAAGCAACGGAUUUAGCAUACAGCUUAUUCCUCUUGAAAGAAUCUUGAAGAGACAAAGAGAUAAGCACCACUUGAGGCAUGAUUGAAGGACGCACCGAUACGAAUUCACAACUGAAUGGGAAUUCCAAGAAUUCAUGGAAACACAUGAGAAUGAAGAGAUCAUGAUCCUCCUAACAAAAAACUUGAAUAAGGCACCGGAAUAAUCGAGAGACGAACGAAGAGGCAACAAUUGAGAAGAUUUGAGGAUGAAAGUUCAAAGCUGAGAACGAAGAAUUUUCUGAAAUGAUGGCCUUCGGAGGAUCGAGAAUAAAAACAACUCAGAAAAGCACUGGAAAGCAAGAAAUAGAUACGCAUGGUUGGAACACUUGAAGAUGAUAACACGAGGCUAAAAUGAUGAAUCUGCAAGAGAAUGACAAGGAUUUGAGAGAAACACUCCUUCGGUCUUCAAAGCAGAGAAUGACGAGAAGAACACCACCAAGAGUUAAUGAGACACUCCGGAAUAAAUAAUAAUGAAAGGUUGAGCCAAAUACGAGAAGUAAUUCAAAUAGAUCUUGAAGAAGGAAUAUGACUGAUGAAAGCAAUACUUACGUCAUAGUUGAAAAGAAUUAAAGACCUCCGGAAGGAUUACAGAGCUAUAUAAGAUCCUGGGGAAAAACCUGUGGGUUAUGGGCCCACUCAAAGAAACCACCAUUAGAAAAGAUUGCUUAGAAGAGAGAUAUUGCACCGGUAGAAAUGAAAACUAGAUGAGGUUAGCACCUCGAAAUAAUUAAGAAUUGAGAACAAGAAUUCUAAGAUAACUUCAACGCUCCGGAUAGAAUAGAGAUAAAUAAAUACCAAGAUAGGCUCAUAAAAUUUUUCGACAUGGGAAAGAAUUACGAGGAUAAAAAGGAUAUGUUGAACACAGACAACUGAAUUAAAUUCACCGGAAAAGAUGACAAAAAUGAAUAAGGAUGAACAAGAAGCUCGUGAGAAUCUUCACAAUGAAUCACCGGNACAGAUGAGAUGAACUCCGGCAUAAAAGAGAGAAUGAUCUUGCAAAAUUGGAUAAGAUUGAGUUCACUUGAAGAGAAGAACACCGGUUGAAUGGAAUUGAUACGAUGACUCCGGUUGAAAAGGAAUUGACAUGAUAAUUGAUAUAGCAAAAGAACUAAUACUCUCAUAAAAAUAUGAGAACACCUCUUAGAAAAGAUCUGAAAUCACCACUUGACAUCGAAGCAACACGAAUUACCAUAAUCAACAAAACAAAGGUAGUGGCUUAUGAAACAAGCCAGAACAAACUUAUGAGAGAGAUUUCGUCCGAUAUUUUCGUGGACAGGAUCGCACGGGCUCGAUUUUAGAGUAGCCAUAAAGUGCAAGGUAGUGCACCCGACAUACGAAGCAUCCCCGAGUUGUAGAAAGCUACAAGGACUCUUUAAGACACAACGUGUACCGCUGUAAGUCGACCGUGAACAAACGAAUCCACUAGAUGUCGAACCCCAACCUAACAUCAUGCAUUUGUUGGAAGAAUGUCCUAUAAGUAACUACUUGAAUUCCCACCUAUGAAUUCCCGAAAUUAUCUGGUCAUGCAAUCUGGUAUACGGAUACAAGGAGUAAUAUCACACAACUCCUAUACUAACCCCACCUGUAUCACAUCUGUGAACACACAACCAGAAUCUCGGACCUUCAUCUACAACAGACCCUUGUGAUCACAACGAUACAAAGUAUGGCAGUUCUCCCAAACAAUCUUCACUAGUACUGGGGACAUCAGGGUUAUCUCGCCACUACUAGUAUUGAAGCAAUUAUGAACAUCCUUCGUUCUGAGAUACUAAGAAAUCUGAAUGAUAACGAUGUGCUCAAGAAUCCCCUGGAGCUCAACUCCCCUGAAACUCAAAGCAGAUAGGAGGCACCAAGACAGAACUCUGUCACAUCGGCAUCAUAUAGAUUACAAAAAUAUCCACGUGACCCUAAAAAAUUUUGAGUGAGAAGAGGAGUACAAUUAAAUUAUUACGUCAAGAUUCCUCACCAGAGCAUAGAAGAGGAGAAAAAAGAAUCCUACUCUCCGAUAUAUAACUAGACUCAAAGCAGUUUUUCACUAGACUCCACUCGGCCAAGUUCGAUCAAUCAAGAGGGCUCCAAGGUCGGUACUGCUCUGAUACCAACUUGUCACGCCCAAGAUGCGACCUAUCCUCAAUUUGGCACGAGGGCCUCGUUAGGGAUAGAAACGCAUCUCGUCGUGUCACAAGAAUGGAUAUCGUUACAAGUACAUGUACUAAAAAGAAGAGAUAUAUCUAUAGAAUUGUCUUACACUAGCCACAAGCUACAUCAGAGUCACAUCAGUACAUUACAUAAACAUCAAGAGUAAGAGCAGGGUCCGACUACGGACAAAAACAAACGGGAAAAAGAAGAACGACGUCCAUCCUUGCUAUCUCUGGCUGCCGGUCUGGAACCCAUCCUAGAUCGAUGAAGAAGAAGAAGAGGAAGCAACUCCAAAUGAACAAUCAACGCGCUCGCGUCAAGUAACCUUUUCCUGUACCUGCAACUGGUGUUUUAGUAAUCUGUGAGCCACAGGGGACUCAGCAAUCUCAUUUCCAAAGGUAUCAAGACUAGCAAAGCUUAAUGGGUGAGGCAUGGUUAAGUGGUGAGGUUGCAGCAGCGGCUAAGCAUAUAUAUAUAUGGUGGCUAAACUUACGAGUACAAGAAAUAAGAGGGGGAAGAUCUACGCAUAGCGGACGAUCUAAUGAUGAUCAAAAGAAUGAUCCUGAACACCUACCUACGUCAGACAUAACCCCAUCGUGUCCUCGAUCGGCGAAACAACUCAUGAAAGAGACAGUCACGGUUACACACACAGUUGGCAUAUUUUAUGUAAGUUAACUUCAAGUUAUCUAGAACCAGUGUUAAACAAAGUUUCCACAUUGACACAUAACCGCGGGCACGGCUUUCCGAAAAGAUUUAACCCUGCAGGGGUGCUCCAACUAGUCCAUCACAAAUUACCACAAGCCGCAUAGAAAUCCUCAAUCACGAAGCUCGCGAUCUCGUCGGAUUCCCUAGUGGGAAACCUCAACUCUGAGAUUACCCAAAGCAUCACCGGAAUCCCGAUGCACAAGAUAUCUCGUCAAAGGUAAAACUAAUCCAACAAGGCCACCCGGUGUGUCAACGAACCCGAUAGGAGCCGCGUAUCUCGUUCUCAGAACCCACCUUCUAUGCAUAGUGGACGGUAGCCAAACCUCGAGUUGCCCCGAGGUGGCACCGUCGACUGCUAGGUGGGUGGACCAACACUCAUGCGGAGCACUGGCCCGGGGCGUUGAUUAAAUUAUCCUCGGGGUCCGGAAAGUCCCUAUGCANNNNNNNNNNNNNNNNNNNNNNNNNNNNNNNNNNNNNNNNNNNNNNNNNNNNNNNNNNNNNNNNNNNNNNNNNNNNNNNNNNNNNNNNNNNNNNNNNNNNNNNNNNNNNNNNNNNNNNNNNNNNNNNNNNNNNNNNNNNNNNNNNNNNNNNNNNNNNNNNNNNNNNNNNNNNNNNNNNNNNNNNNNNNNNCAGCUUUAAUCUAAAACGAAUUAUCAAGGGGGUCCCCAUAACAACCCUGAUCGUGUUAGGAGCGCUCAAUUAUGGAACAUAACACCGGUAGCCGGAAACUAAGGGGGCAAAGGUGGAACAAAACACCAGACUAGAAAGGCCGAGCCUUCCACCUUUUACCAAGUAUAUAGGUGCAUUAAAUUAAAUAACAUUUAAUAUGGUGAUAUAACAAGGAACCCACGUUAUCACAUGGAAGCAACUGCACCUGCAACUAGCAACGCUAACACAGGGUUAAGCAAGCGAAACAUAGCCAAUCAGUGGUAUGCUAGGUUGAACAGGUUCAAGGUUUCAUGGCAUUGUUGAGAGGCUGAUAUUUAACAUGUGGUAGGCAACGGGACAUAAUCGAUAGAAACGGUAAAACUAGCAUGGCAAUGAUAGUAAUGGUAUCUGGGGAAAUGGUCAUCUUGCCUGAGAUCCCGUUUGGAAGAAGAAUGCCUCCGUGAAGCAGACGAACCGAUGUAGUCGAACGGGUCCUCGCCUCCGACACGCUUGCGGAACUCUAUCGAGACGGGGAAAACCGGAACAAGCAUGAACACACGAUAUUCACCACACGAUGCACAACACAUAUGAUGCAUGGAUAGGCUGAAUACAUGCAAGACAGGGCAUGGCAAUUCACGUCAAACAAACACUACACAUUAAGUGAAGUUCAAUAUGCAGCGAGUUGCACAUUGACGAAACUCCACAUACGAGUUAUUUAGUUCUAUCCCGAUUAGAUACACGGCAAUAUUAAAUGUUGUUAAACAUGGCACGAGGGUGAAGCCCAAAUUAAUCUACCUAGUUAGGCAUUUUAAAUGAGGUCGGAAGCAUCAUAUAGCAUUUCCGAUAUGACCCCGCGCGUUAAAUUCUAACCCUGUCCGGAUUUGUCCUAAUCAUAUUUUAUGUGUGUUAAACAGCGAAACAAAGUGGAUCACGUGAUUCUACUCGUCGUUCUAGUCCAUUUAUAUAUAUGGCACAUCUCCUACGGAGCUAUGGACAAAUAGUUACGACCUAAAACGUUUUCAACACAUCGACACGCAAACCGAUGCAAACACCACACUAAAUAGUUCUAACUAUGCAGGAGAGUUGCAAAAUAUUACUCUAUGCAAAAUUCUAGUCAAAAACCAUAUAUAACUCACUCUGAUCCGAGGCAUGGUUUAGAAACUACGCUCUUUUGAAAAAUCAAUGCAUUUCUUCUGAAAUUAAAUAAAAUCGCGGGAGGGAAGAAAAAUGAACAUAGGCCAAAUUGCAACAUCUUGCAGUGGCCAUAAGAGGAUUCAGCCCAAGAGGUUGUGCACACAGAAGGAAAAAUAAAAUAAAAUACCAACAACAGAAAGAACAGAGGCUUCCCUGGGAUUUGAUCCCAGUACCUCUUUGGUGCAGAGGAAGGCACAAACCAACCGAGCUGCAAAUCAGUUGUGAUAAGGCAUGGGUUUUUAGCCUAUAUGAAAGUGCAUAAGGAACCAACCUGGUGUAAAAGAAAAACAAAGGAAAACAGAUAUAGGGGUGAAUGGGAUUCGAACCCCAGACACCCUGGUGUUGGCGCUGCUAGGUUGACCAGUCAAGCCGGCCAUAACUUGUGCUAUAAGCAUCUGAAAUACCGGAGAAGAAAUAGCAAGAUGUGUACGUCGAUGGGGCAACAAAAAUUAAAUAAGAGCUCGCUGGGAUUUGAUCCCGAGUCUCCUAGCUAGAAGGAGAGAUCGCUAGCCACUUCAGUAACCAUGUGCUCGUGUAGGAAUUCAGAGGCAAUACUACAUAACAUCAGCAUGAUGGAACAGAUCUUGGAAAGAACUGAAAUUCAGUUACGUAGGGACUUGCUCACAUCAGGGGACGGGGAGGCCAUGGCGGUCUGGGUAGGGGUCUCGAGCAUGGAUUGCGGUGGGGAACGACUGGGAAGGCUCGGGCAGCAGCGGCUCUUGCCGAAUCUGGCCGGGGUGGCUCCAUUCCCGACAGAUCUGAUGCGAUCCGGCGGAGCUUGGUCUCCAUGGCUUCCUGUUCGAACGAGACAGAGAGAGAUGAGCGAAGGGGGCGUGGAAGAAAGGGAAGAACGGGUAGAGCAGGGCAACGACGAGGUUACCGGCGGCGCUAGGAGGUGAGGGAUGGGCGUUGGGG
Molecule: long non-coding RNA, 9389 nt
Filed under: Hordeum vulgare
Lineage: Eukaryota; Viridiplantae; Streptophyta; Magnoliopsida; Poales; Poaceae
Description: long non-coding RNA (HVUL_LNC015867)
Source: RNAcentral